This 310-nucleotide ribosomal RNA is filed under the name Segatella copri. RNAcentral's name for it is "partial 23S ribosomal RNA". It matches the Rfam family "Bacterial large subunit ribosomal RNA", at positions 1 to 314 of the family's 2925-position model. Lineage: Bacteria; Pseudomonadati; Bacteroidota; Bacteroidia; Bacteroidales; Prevotellaceae. The record is from RNAcentral.
AAGAAAGUAAGAAAGGGCGUAUGGCGGAUGCCUAGGCUCACGGAGGCGAUGAAGGACGUGAUAAGCUGCGAUAAGCUUCGGGUAGGUGCAAAUAACCUUUGAUCCGAAGAUUUCCGAAUGGGACAACCUAGCCGUCUGAAGGACGGUUACUCUUACCAAUGUAAGAGAGCUAACGCAGGGAACUGAAACAUCUUAGUACCUGUAGGAAGAGAAAAUAAAUUAAUGAUUCCCCCAGUAGUGGCGAGCGAACGGGGAACAGCCCAAACCAGUGGCGUCGCAAGGCGUGGCUGGGGUUGUAGGACCGCGACAU